Molecule: long non-coding RNA, 636 nt
Organism: Rana temporaria (common frog)
Lineage: Eukaryota; Metazoa; Chordata; Amphibia; Anura; Ranidae
Exons: 2
Source: RefSeq, a predicted model, not a curated record
GAGAGAGGGAGAGGAGACUCAGCUUCAUUACAACUUCCUGCCAGCCCGGCCCGGCCCGGGUGUCCAUUCAUUACUCAGAGCAACUAGGACAGUAUGAAAUGUACUGCAAGCCCAACUGUAAGCUCCGUUCGUCAAGAAUAAAGAUAUUUCCGAACAAAAAAGUGACAGUUAUCUUCAGCUGUGUCCAAUGAGAUUUGAAAAUGCAAGUCACAUGGGUAUAAUGAAGAUUGCAUCUUGUGAAUUUAGCUUUGUGUAGCUUGUAAGCAGAAAAGAAAGGGGCUUUAUAAAAGGUCUAGCCUCCAGCUGUGUAGCACUCCCUUGCACUGUACAUCAGCCUGUGGCUUUAAGGAUGAUCUCACGCCAGGCAGAGGAGGGCGAGGCUGCCUUGUUUCACGACUCCAGACUGUUUGGCCUCAAUCCCAAGUUUAAAUAUUUUAACGUCUUGGCCAAUGCGGAAAAAAGAAAUAAUGGCUGGGUUCUUAACCCUUUGUUGUGGAAUCUAAUCUCUUCUAAUGUAAUCUGUUCAGUGAGCUUUUUUUGUAGUCAAUACUACCCUUAUAUAGAUCUGGGUUCUCACUAUUUUAUUGCAAGCAUUCUGCAGAUUCAUGCUUUGAGAUAAAUCCUGUUUGAUUUUCA